Molecule: long non-coding RNA, 1113 nt
Filed under: Marmota monax (woodchuck)
Lineage: Eukaryota; Metazoa; Chordata; Mammalia; Rodentia; Sciuridae
Source: RNAcentral
GGGUAAAUGAAUAAACAAAUUGUAUUUACUACCAGAUUUUGAGAACAUUUAGUUACUUAAAUGAACAAAAUCAAACUUAUGCAAGUAGAAAUAAUAGCUAAUAUAUGAAAGACCAUGAACAUUUAUAUGAAUUUAAAGUAUAAACCUUGAGCCCAAAAUAACAUUCCAAUGAACUGUAAGGUAAUGAAAUGAUUAGUUAUUGCUCUUUGUAAGCUAGUGAUAACAAUGCAUAUUUUGUAGCUUAAUAAGGGGAUAUUGUAACCUUGGCCCCUUUUCUCUCUCUCUUUCUCCCCUUCCCAGUUGUCAUGAGUUGAACAAUUUGCUCUACCAUGCACUCCUGCCAUAAUGUUUUUGGGAGGAAAAUGUCAAUACUUUUUAUGUAGUUCAUCUGUGAGCACUAUUGAAGGUUUCUGAUACCUUUGAUACCAACUUUUCUAAGCACAGAUAUGCUAAGAGCAUGGUACAGAACCUGACAGGAAAAAAAGUAGAUUCAUUUAAUUUACAGAGCCUGCUAACAAAGAUAAUAAGCAGCAGUAGCAAAAGUGAAAAUAUCAGCUCCUGUCCUUUAAUAUGUGUUUAUUUGACUUGAGAUCACAUCUAGAUCAAAUUGUUUCUUGACAUCUAUAAUUUUCCAUCUCCAUGUAGUUUUGUACUUCUACCAUUUAUAGUUGAUUCUCCAGUCCUAUUUUCCAUUUUCUUUAUUGAAUUGUAAUUUCCUUAGGAGCAGAAACUUUGCUAUUUAUUUUAUUUGUUUGUCUCCAAAGCAUCCUAAAUUGUGAUUGCUCAAUAAAGGUUUCCCAAAUGGCUAAGUAAUGCUAGCAUUUCAGUUCACUUGUCAAAAAAUAAUUAUAUGAAUGAGGUUAUUCAUUUUCUUGACAGCUAAAUCUCCUGAUGGAAUAGUCUAGUGGAUAGCUUUGUUUUUAUACGAAUCUCAAAAGCAAAAAAUCUACAAUUAAUAAAUGUAUAUUGUUAAUCCAAUAAGUAAUUUGUAAUUUACUGGUUUUGAAGUAAAAUUCCAGUUGGUAUUUUAAGGGUAAUAAAGUCCAUUACUUUCCUAGGUUUGAGCCUAUCUGGGUUCUGAUAGGAUUGAGGACAGAAAAAAGGACAAAAAAG